RNAcentral lists this ribosomal RNA (440 nucleotides) under uncultured bacterium. Its description in RNAcentral is "partial 16S ribosomal RNA". It matches the Rfam family "Bacterial small subunit ribosomal RNA", at positions 338 to 795 of the family's 1533-position model. The record is from RNAcentral.
CCUACGGGUGGCUGCAGUGGGGAAUAUUGCACAAUGGAGGAAACCCUGAUGCAGCAACGCCGCGUGAGUGAAGAAGUAUUUAGGGAUUUAAAGCUCUAUCAGCAGGGAAGAGAAUGACGGUACCUGACUAAGAAGCCCCGGCUAACUACGUGCCAGCAGCCGCGGCAAUACGGAGGGGGCAGGCGUUAUCCGGAUUUUCUGGGUGUAAAGGGGGCGUAGUCGGCUGGCCAAGUCUGAAGGGAAAGCCGGGGGCUUAACCCCGGAACGGCUUUGGAAAUUGGCCGGCUGGAGUGCUGGAGAGGCAGGCGGAAUGCGUGGUGUAGCGGUGAAAUGCGUAGAUAUCAGGAGGAACACCGGUGGCGAAGGCGGCCUGCUGGACAGUAACUGACGUUGAGGCUCGAAAGCGUGGGGAGCAAACAGGAUUAGAUACCCCUGUAGUC